Molecule: ribosomal RNA, 253 nt
Filed under: uncultured bacterium
Lineage: Bacteria
Description: partial 16S ribosomal RNA
Rfam family: Bacterial small subunit ribosomal RNA
Source: RNAcentral
UACGUAGGGGGCAAGCGUUGUCCGGAUUUAUUGGGCGUAAAGAGCGUGUAGGCGGCUUCACAGGUCCGCUGUGAAAACUCGAGGCUCAACCUCGAGAUGUCGGUGGAAACCGUGUGGCUAGAGUUCGGAAGAGGAGAGUGGAAUUCCCGGUGUAGCGGUGAAAUGCGCAGAUAUCGGGAAGAACACCCGUGGCGAAGGCGGCUCUCUGGGACGGUACUGACGCUGAGACGCGAAAGCGUGGGGAGCGAACAGG